RNAcentral lists this ribosomal RNA (324 nucleotides) under uncultured bacterium. Its description in RNAcentral is "bacterial SSU rRNA". It matches the Rfam family "Bacterial small subunit ribosomal RNA", at positions 396 to 736 of the family's 1533-position model. The record is from RNAcentral.
GCCGCGUGAGCGAAGAAGGCUUUCGAGUCGUAAAGCUCUGUCCUAAGAGAAGAAGAAGUGACGGUAACUUAGGAGGAAGCCCCGGCUAACUACGUGCCAGCAGCCGCGGUAAUACGUAGGGGGCUAGCGUUGUCCGGAAUUACUGGGCGUAAAGGGUGAGUAGGUGGUCAUUAAAGUCAGAUGUAAAAGGCAAUGGCUCAACCAUUGUAAGCAUUUGAAACUUAAUGACUUGAGUGCAGGAGAGGUAAAUGGAAUUCCUAGUGUAGCGGUGAAAUGCGUAGAUAUUAGGAAGAACACCAGUGGCGAAGGCGAUUUACUGGACUG